AACGAACGCUGGCGGCAUGCCUAACACAUGCAAGUCGAACGAGAUCUUCGGGUCUAGUGGCGCACGGGUGCGUAACGCGUGGGAAUCUGCCCUUCGGUUCGGAAUAACAGUUGGAAACGACUGCUAAUACCGGAUGAUGACGAAAGUCCAAAGAUUUAUCGCCAGAGGAUGAGCCCGCGUAGGAUUAGCUAGUUGGUGUGGUAAAGGCGCACCAAGGCGACGAUCCUUAGCUGGUCUGAGAGGAUGAUCAGCCACACUGGGACUGAGACACGGCCCAGACUCCUACGGGAGGCAGCAGUGGGGAAUAUUGGACAAUGGGCGAAAGCCUGAUCCAGCAAUGCCGCGUGAGUGAUGAAGGCCUUAGGGUGUAAAGCUCUUUUACCCGGGAUGAUAAUGACAGUACCGGGAGAAUAAGCUCCGGCUAACUCCGUGCCAGCCGCCGCAGUAA
RNAcentral lists this ribosomal RNA (448 nucleotides) under uncultured bacterium. Its description in RNAcentral is "partial 16S ribosomal RNA". It matches the Rfam family "Bacterial small subunit ribosomal RNA", at positions 29 to 523 of the family's 1533-position model. The record is from RNAcentral.